GAUGAACGCUGGCGGCGUGCCUAAUACAUGCAAGUCGAGCGAACAGACGAGGAGCUUGCUCCUCUGACGUUAGCGGCGGACGGGUGAGUAACACGUGGAUAACCUACCUAUAAGACUGGGAUAACUUCGGGAAACCGGAGCUAAUACCGGAUAAUAUAUUGAACCGCAUGGUUCAAUAGUGAAAUACGGUUUUGCUGUCACUUAUAGAUGGAUCCGCGCCGCAUUAGCUAGUUGGUAAGGUAACGGCUUACCAAGGCAACGAUGCGUAGCCGACCUGAGAGGGUGAUCGGCCACACUGGAACUGAGACACGGUCCAGACUACUAAGGGAGGCAGCAGUAGGGAAUCUUCCGCAAUGGGCGAAAGCAUGACGGAGCAACGCCGCGUGAGUGAUGAAGGUCUUCGGAUCGUAAAACUCUGUUAUUAGGGAAGAACAAAUGUGUAAGUAACUAUGCACGUCUUGACGGUAACUAAUCAGAAAGCCACGGCUAACUACGUG
This 497-nucleotide ribosomal RNA is filed under the name uncultured bacterium. Its description in RNAcentral is "partial 16S ribosomal RNA". It matches the Rfam family "Bacterial small subunit ribosomal RNA", at positions 28 to 507 of the family's 1533-position model. The record is from RNAcentral.